CUGCACUAGAAAAAAGGAUAUACCGGGUUGAGUUUGAGAUAUUAAGAGUUAAAAUGAGAUAGCCGUGUUUUAGUGUGUAUCUAUGCAAUAAUUAGAUGAGAGUCCUGCUACAGUGUCCUAGACUGCAUGGGCUGAGUUAAAAAAAAAAAAAAAAAAAAUUUACCUUAGUACUUAAAUACCAGGACAGUUUGAGUUGUCGUUGCAUAUAGAUGCAUUUUCAAUGAAACAAAGAUGGUUUUUAUCCCCCCUUUCUGUGUAUGUCUGUGUCUGCAGCAAUGAAUUUUUGUGAAACAGCCCA
This 298-nucleotide unclassified non-coding RNA is filed under the name Hevea brasiliensis (rubber tree). Lineage: Eukaryota; Viridiplantae; Streptophyta; Magnoliopsida; Malpighiales; Euphorbiaceae. The record is from RNAcentral.